RNAcentral lists this ribosomal RNA (505 nucleotides) under uncultured bacterium. RNAcentral's name for it is "partial 16S ribosomal RNA". It matches the Rfam family "Bacterial small subunit ribosomal RNA", at positions 28 to 507 of the family's 1533-position model. The record is from RNAcentral.
GACGAACGCUGGCGGCGUGCCUAAUACAUGCAAGUAGAACGCACAGUUUAUACCGUAGCUUGCUACACCAUAGACUGUGAGUUGCGAACGGGUGAGUAACGCGUAGGUAACCUGCCUGGUAGCGGGGGAUAACUAUUGGAAACGAUAGCUAAUACCGCAUAAUAUUGAUUAUUGCAUGAUAAUUGAUUGAAAGAUGCUAUUGCAUCACUACCAGAUGGACCUGCGUUGUAUUAGCUAGUAGGUGAGGUAACGGCUCACCUAGGCGACGAUACAUAGCCGACCUGAGAGGGUGAUCGGCCACACUGGGACUGAGACACGGCCCAGACGCCUACGGGAGGCAGCAGUAGGGAAUCUUCGGCAAUGGACGAAAGUCUGACCGAGCAACGCCGCGUGAGUGAAGAAGGGUUUCGGAUCGUAAAGCUCUGUUGUAAGAGAAGAACGGGUGUGAGAGUGGAAAGUUCACACUGUGACGGUAUCUUACCAGAAAGGGACGGCUAACUACGUG